GGUAAUUUCGUGCAUGCCGCCGGGGUAAGACGGAUGUGUGUUGCGUUAUUCUGAAUUGCUAGACGUGCGGCGGGCGGUGGCGGGUAUGUAAGGCUGAUGAGGAAUCCCCGGGCUCAUCCUCGGAAUGGAAUCGGAUGGGGGGUAGCUAUAGGGCAGUAGGGGGAGGUGGAAUUCCAGGGGUAGCGGUGAGAUGCGUAGAGAUCUGGAGGAACACCAGUGGCGAAGUCGUCCUCCUGGUCUGACACUGACGCUGAGGUGCGAAAGCGUGGGGAUCAAACAGGAUUAGAUACCCGAUUAGUC
Molecule: ribosomal RNA, 300 nt
Filed under: uncultured Novosphingobium sp.
Lineage: Bacteria; Pseudomonadati; Pseudomonadota; Alphaproteobacteria; Sphingomonadales; Sphingomonadaceae
Description: bacterial SSU rRNA
Rfam family: Bacterial small subunit ribosomal RNA
Source: RNAcentral